UACGUAGGGUGCGAGCGUUAAUCGGAUUUACUCGGCGUAAAGCGUGCGCAGGCGGCCCGUUAAGACAGGUGUGAAAUCCCUGGGCUCAACCUAGGAAUUGCGCUUGUGACUGGCGGGCUCGAGUACGGUAGAGGGGGGUGGAAUUCCUGGUGUAGCAGUGAAAUGCGUAGAGAUCAGGAGGAACACCGAUGGCGAAGGCAGCCCCCUGGGCCUGUACUGACGCUCAUGCACGAAAGCGUGGGGAGCAAACAGG
RNAcentral lists this ribosomal RNA (253 nucleotides) under uncultured microorganism. Its description in RNAcentral is "partial 16S ribosomal RNA". It matches the Rfam family "Bacterial small subunit ribosomal RNA", at positions 524 to 776 of the family's 1533-position model. The record is from RNAcentral.